UGAGUGCCUUUGGCUCCUUGUCCAGAC
RNAcentral lists this non-coding RNA (27 nucleotides) under Mus musculus (house mouse). Lineage: Eukaryota; Metazoa; Chordata; Mammalia; Rodentia; Muridae. The record is from RNAcentral.